Molecule: ribosomal RNA, 460 nt
Filed under: uncultured bacterium
Lineage: Bacteria
Description: partial 16S ribosomal RNA
Rfam family: Bacterial small subunit ribosomal RNA
Source: RNAcentral
CCUACGGGCGGCUGCAGUGAGGAAUAUUGGUCAAUGGGCGCGAGCCUGAACCAGCCAAGUCGCGUGAGGGAUGAAGGUUCUAUGGAUCGUAAACCUCUUUUAUACGGGGAUAAAGUGUGGGACGUGUCCUCUUUUGUAUGUACCUUAUGAAUAAGGGUCGGCUAACUCCGUGCCAGCAGCCGCGGUAAUACGGAGGAUCCGAGCGUUAUCCGGAUUUAUUGGGUUUAAAGGGUGCGUAGGCGGCCUUUUAAGUCAGCUGUGAAAGUCUGUGGCUCAACCAUAGAAUUGCCGUUGAAACUGGGGGGUUUGAGUACGUUUGAGGCAGGCGGAAUGCGUGGUGUAGCGGUGAAAUGCUUAGAUAUCACGCAGAACCCCGAUUGCGAAGGCAGCCUGCCAAGCCAUGACUGACGCUGAGGCACGAAAGCGUGGGGAUCAAACAGGAUUAGAUACCCCUGUAGUC